GUUUGAUCCUGGCUCAGGACGAACGCUGGCGGCGUGCCUAACACAUGCAAGUCGAGCGGGAUAUACCGGUUUAGUUUACUAAGCUGGUAAAUUCAGCGGCGGACGGGUGAGUAACGCGUGAGCAAUCUGCCUUGUACAGGGGGAUAACAGCCGGAAACGGCUGCUAAUACCGCAUAAGGCCACAGUACCGCAUGGUACAGGGGUCAAAGGAGAGAUCCGGUAUAAGAUGAGCUCGCGUUCCAUUAGCUGGUUGGUGAGGUAACGGCCCACCAAGGCAACGAUGGGUAGCCGGCCUGAGAGGGUGAACGGCCACAUUGGGACUGAGACACGGCCCAAACUCCUACGGGAGGCAGCAGUGGGGGAUAUUGCGCAAUGGGGGGAACCUGACGCAGCAACGCCGCGUGAGUGAAGGAGGCCUUCGGGUCGUAAAACUCUGUGACAGGGGAAGAAGAAAGUGACGGUACCCUGAGAGGAAGCCCCGGCUAACUACGUGCCAGCAGCCGCGGUAACACGUAGGGGGCAAGCGUUGUCCGGAAUUACUGGGCGUAAAGGGUGCGUAGGCGGCCAGGCAAGUCCGAUGUGAAAGACCACGGCUAAACUGUGGGGGUGCAUAGGAAACUGUCCGGCUUGAGUGCAGGAGAGGAAAGUGGAAUUCCUAGUGUAGCGGUGAAAUGCGUAGAGAUUAGGAAGAACACCAGUGGCGAAGGCGACUUUCUGGACUGUAACUGACGCUGAGGCACGAAAGCGUGGGGAGCGAACAGGAUUAGAUACCCUGGUAGUCCACGCCGUAAACGAUGGAUACUAGGUUGUAGGGGGUAUCGACCCCCCCUGUGCCGGAGUUAACGCAAUAAGUAUCCCGCCUGGGGAGUACGGCCGCAAGGUUGAAACUCAAAGGAAUUGACGGGGGCCCGCACAAGCAGCGGAGCAUGUGGUUUAAUUCGAAGCAACGCGAAGAACCUUACCAGGGCUUGACAUCCCUCCGACGGGCAUAGAGAUAUGCCGUUUCAGCAAUGGACGGGGGAGACAGGUGGUGCAUGGUUGUCGUCAGCUCGUGUCGUGAGAUGUUGGGUUAAGUCCCGCAACGAGCGCAACCCUUAUCAACAGUUACCAGCAAGUAAAGUGGGGACUCUGAAGAGACCUGCCGGGGAGAAACCUCGGAGGAAGGGUGGGGAAUGAACGUCAAAUCAUCAUGCCCCUUAUGUCCUGGGCUACACACGUGCUACAAUGGCCUGAAACAAAGGGAAGCGAAGGCGCAAGCCGGAGCGGAACCCAGAAAGCAGGUCUCAGUUCGGAUUGUGGGCUGCAACCCGCCCACAUGAAGUCGGAGUUGCUAGUAAUCGCGAAUCAGCAUGUCGCGGUGAAUGCGUUCCCGGGCCUUGUACACACCGCCCGUC
RNAcentral lists this ribosomal RNA (1394 nucleotides) under uncultured Caldicoprobacter sp. RNAcentral describes it as "bacterial SSU rRNA". It matches the Rfam family "Bacterial small subunit ribosomal RNA". Lineage: Bacteria; Bacillati; Bacillota; Clostridia; Caldicoprobacterales; Caldicoprobacteraceae. The record is from RNAcentral.